This 340-nucleotide ribosomal RNA is filed under the name uncultured Lactobacillus sp. Its description in RNAcentral is "bacterial SSU rRNA". It matches the Rfam family "Bacterial small subunit ribosomal RNA", at positions 351 to 683 of the family's 1533-position model. Lineage: Bacteria; Bacillati; Bacillota; Bacilli; Lactobacillales; Lactobacillaceae. The record is from RNAcentral.
GCAGUAGGGAAUCUUCCACAAUGGGCGCAAGCCUGAUGGAGCAACACCGCGUGAGUGAAGAAGGGUUUCGGCUCGUAAAGCUCUGUUGUUAAAGAAGAACACGUAUGAGAGUAACUGUUCAUACGUUGACGGUAUUUAACCAGAAAGUCACGGCUAACUACGUGCCAGCAGCCGCGGUAAUACGUAGGUGGCAAGCGUUAUCCGGAUUUAUUGGGCGUAAAGAGAGUGCAGGCGGUUUUCUAAGUCUGAUGURAAAGCCUUCGGCUUAACCGGAGAAGUGCAUCGGAAACUGGAUAACUUGAGUGCAGAAGAGGGUAGUGGAACUCCAUGUGUAGCGGUG